NNNNNNNNNNNNNNNNNNNNNNNNNNNNGCCUCCUCCGCGAACUGUCAACAAAGGAGAAUCAGGUUUGGCAUCGGGAGGCCUCCGGGCUGCCCGCCCUGAGCCCAGCUCAGCCCGGACCCACCGGCCACCUUAAGUGGCCGAGGGGGGCAACGAAAAUCUGCCAGGGCCUGGGGAUUCUGGUGGAGGCCUUGUGAGCUCAGCUGGCGUAGACCCCUGUGCGUAGAGCUCAGGACGCCCGCAGAGUGGGUAAGGGCAGUGGGGAUGUGCUCCCCCCACCUCCCCCACCCCCGCCUUAGCAUCACCUGUCACCGCGCCCAUCCUGCACACCUCCAUCUUCAUCUUUAAUUUGAGUGAGGGGACCGUUGAUUCCGUGCCAUAGAGUCUCAGCAUGUCCGCAGUGCCUGGACGCGGCUUUCCGAAAGAGGCCUGCAAGCUAGACCCCGGCUCCAUACCCUUGGACCUGUCUAUGUCUUCGUGGAACUCAAGUUUCCUGGUGUUUCUCUGGCCUUUGAUGUCUUCUUCCUCAUCCCGUCCAGCUGAUGUCAAACCCAUCACCCCUGGGGACUCACGGAGACUCUGCCAAUGCCUUGAAAUACAUCCUUAUUUCCACAAGGACAGACGGUCCCAGCCCAGCACAGUUCUGGAUUGUAUUUAUUUGAAAGAGAGAGAGCAUGGGGAGAGACAGAGGAGAGGGAGAAGCAGACUCCCCACGGAGCAGGGAGCCCAACACAGCGUUCAACCCCAGGACCCUGAGAUAAUGAUUGAGCUGAAAGCAGAGCUAUGGAAGCAACUGGGAGAGAAACCAGGAACCCAGGAUGAGACCGCAGCAGGGGAGGGAACUCACCAAACCUGGAGUUCCUCAAUAAGGUCCCAUCUGUCCCUUACCUGGACCCUCCCCUACAGAAGGCAGUGUGCCAAUCAUGUGCCCUCUGUUCUCCAGGUUCCAGCUACGCAAACUGUCCGCUUGAUCAGGACGUCCUCGCCUCAAACUGAAGACAACUUAAUAAAGUUGAUUUUCCACAUUUGGAAUGUCCCUUCUGUACCAUUUUGCCAAAGCUCGCCCUUGCCUGUUCUAAAAUCUAGCUCUGCCACAUCUCCUUCUGGAGCUCACCUCACUCCUGAACACCUGCACCGACCUUAG
This 1142-nucleotide long non-coding RNA is filed under the name Mustela putorius furo (domestic ferret). Its description in RNAcentral is "lncRNA (ENSMPUG00000031860.1)". The record is from RNAcentral. Lineage: Eukaryota; Metazoa; Chordata; Mammalia; Carnivora; Mustelidae.